This is a long non-coding RNA of Vidua chalybeata, 304 nucleotides long. RefSeq lists it as uncharacterized. The record is from RefSeq and is a predicted model, not a curated record. The transcript has 3 exons. Lineage: Eukaryota; Metazoa; Chordata; Aves; Passeriformes; Viduidae.
GGGGCCCGGUGUCCCCCCUCAGGUGACAGCUAAGGGUGCUCGGGGCAGCCCUUACCCAUGGCAAACUCCACGAGGGUCUCGUUGUCCUCGUUCCAGUUUAAAUAACGGGAUUGGAAUUCAUGAAGCUGCGGGAGAAAAGAGCACAGAAGCUGAGCCCCAUAAAUAAUGCAGCUGAUAUCAGGAAGAAGCUGGAAUUGUAGAAGACAUAGUGGAAAUCACUGGUUAUGUCUACCAGGAGACCUGAAACAGAAGUCAUAGCUUAGCCAAAGAGAAGAGGCACACUAAAGGCAUUCAUUUACAUGAA